This 702-nucleotide long non-coding RNA is filed under the name Sinocyclocheilus grahami. Its description in RNAcentral is "lncRNA (ENSSGRG00000031352.1)". The record is from RNAcentral. Lineage: Eukaryota; Metazoa; Chordata; Actinopteri; Cypriniformes; Cyprinidae.
CGCCCUCACCGAGAGAGCGCGCGGAAGCGGAACAUGGCUGAAAUGGUGCGAUCUCGUUCAUAACAGUUAUUGAGUGUUAAGUUUAAAGAGUUGUUGCUACUCCAGUUCUGCACAUUUCACAUGGACACGACGUUUGAGUAGUUGUCAGAAAACAAUCCUGAAUAUCUAUUAUCUAUAACUGCCCUAUUGUGCAAUAGCACGCUGGCUAAUCAGUUGUCGUCGAUUAAUCAACAACAACAGCAACACAGAGAAAGUGUUUUUGUUCAAGUAACAGACAGUAACGGGGGUGUAACUGUAGCAGACCCUCCAAAACAACCCCCCAAACGCCGACGCUUCCUCCAUCACAACAGUACCCGUUUACUCCAACAAGGUAAACAGCUCCUUAAAUCUGAAGCCAAUAACCUUCAAACACACCACUCUCACAGAUGAGGAAAAAGGUGGUCCUCUGUGGUCUCCUUCCCCACCUCGUACAGAGAGACGGCCAAUCAGCAUUGAUCUGAGUGGCUCAGAGGAGGAGCCAGAACAGACUGAAGCUCAGCAGAUCCUCCGUUCCCCCUCUCCACCCCCUCUACCAUGUAGUCCACUACUGAAACGGAGCAGACGGGCAAACCCAAAAAUACAAGAAAUCCACAGGAAAUUGGAUGCGAUUGGCUCUCUGGUGUGUCUCUCGCCUGAGCCUCAGGAGCCUGUGGUUGAAUACAG